This 465-nucleotide ribosomal RNA is filed under the name Vreelandella stevensii. Its description in RNAcentral is "partial 16S ribosomal RNA". It matches the Rfam family "Bacterial small subunit ribosomal RNA", at positions 338 to 795 of the family's 1533-position model. The record is from RNAcentral. Lineage: Bacteria; Pseudomonadati; Pseudomonadota; Gammaproteobacteria; Oceanospirillales; Halomonadaceae.
CCUACGGGGGGCAGCAGUGGGGAAUAUUGGACAAUGGGCGAAAGCCUGAUCCAGCCAUGCCGCGUGUGUGAAGAAGGCCUUCGGGUUGUAAAGCACUUUCAGUGGGGAAGAAAGCCUUGGGGCUAAUACCCUCGAGGAAGGACAUCACCCACAGAAGAAGCACCGGCUAACUCCGUGCCAGCAGCCGCGGUAAUACGGAGGGUGCGAGCGUUAAUCGGAAUUACUGGGCGUAAAGCGCGCGUAGGCGGUCUGAUAAGCCGGUUGUGAAAGCCCCGGACUCAACCUGGGAACGGCAUCCGGAACUGUCAGGCUAGAGUGCAGGAGAGGAAGGUAGAAUUCCCGGUGUAGCGGUGAAAUGCGUAGAGAUCGGGAGGAAUACCAGUGGCGAAGGCGGCCUUCUGGACUGACACUGACGCUGAGGUGCGAAAGCGUGGGUAGCAAACAGGAUUAGAUACCCGAGUGGUC